GGGGGCGUCCCGGAUUCGACGGAAGUGGAUGAGAUGAGGAGGCGUGCCGGGUUCCAUGCUCCCGCAAUCGCAUGGAAAACCACAACUGCCAAUUCUAAUCAACUGGCAUACGCUGCUUAAUUAGCAACGUCGUUCACGCAAGUUCGCCUGUAGGCUUGUAGUGGGCGUCACUUUUGCAGGCUGGUCUGUGGCGCAAUGUCCCGGCGUCGCAGUCGAGAACUCCGCAAGGGGUAGGGGCUGGCGCUGAUCGGCUCUUGUCCGCUCUGACCGGCCAGCGCGAGAUCCACCGGAACGGACUACGCCCGUAGCUCUCCUCACCGGCAGCACUUUCGGACGGGGGUUCAACUCCCCCCGCCUCCACCA
Molecule: transfer-messenger RNA, 363 nt
Filed under: Terriglobales
Lineage: Bacteria; Pseudomonadati; Acidobacteriota; Terriglobia
Also listed under: 1 other name
Description: SCQP01 sp004299485 Standard tmRNA
Rfam family: transfer-messenger RNA
About the family: Bacterial tmRNA, also known as 10Sa RNA or SsrA, is named for its dual tRNA and mRNA-like properties. Its role is to liberate the mRNA from a stalled ribosome.
Source: RNAcentral